AUUUAUUAACAUUACAUUUUUCACUCAUCCUAUCAGUGUUUCAUGAUUGCAUAUCAAAGCAAAGAAUCCUUUAAGAUUCUUAGCUAUCCUUUAGGAUUGCUUACGGCACUUACUACAUUUCUCUUUCAUUUGUUGAUAUUAAAAAAAAAAAAUGUUUCAUUAUCCCUACUAUAUUCUGGGGACUUCCAGGUCUAGAGCUUCUAUUCUGGGGAUGGACAAUAAUAAAACACUUCUUUUCCAAGUCAUCCCAACAAGCGGAACAUAGGGACUUAAAGAAGCUGAGUUUCAGCGUACAUGGAAAUAGCAUAUUUCAUUAUGCAAAUAGAUUUCUCCUGGACUGACCUGCAUCAUGAAAGACCAUCUGCUAAUUAUACCAGGGGGCAAGUCUACAAAGGCCAAAUUACAUUGUGUGUGUGGUGUCCUUGAUUUGUUUCUGAGAACCAAACAAUAUUAAGGGUUACAGAUGGUUUAAUUAUUGACAGUCACUCCAUUGCUUUCUCCCUGUGGGUGUCAGGGUGUGAGGCUCUGCUCGCCUCACAGCAAUGACUCAGUUACCCUGGCGAAGGCUUCCAGGAUCUCCCGAGGCUCAAAGAUAAAGAAACUGAGGCACACAGAGGUUAAGUACCUUGCUGAAGGUCAUACAUGCAGAGUGGUUUGACUAUGGAACCUAGGCUUUUGAUCAUGACAUUGUACUCCUUUGUGCAGAGUAUCUUGGGCAUAAGAGGCCCCCCAAAAGGAGAGAUAGUGCCCUCAAGAAGAUUAUCAAGAUUAAAUGAAGUAAAAAGGAUGGACCCCUAAUUCAAUAGGAAUGAUGUGAUUAUAAGAGAAAGAAACAUCAGGACACAGAGGCAAGACUGUGUGAGGACACAAUGGGAAGGUGACAUCUGCAACUAAGGAGAAGAUUCUGAAUAAACCAAAUCUGCUGACCUCUUAACCUUGGACAUCCAGUCUCUAGAAAAGUGAAUAAAUAAAUUUCUGUUGUUUAAACUA
Molecule: long non-coding RNA, 990 nt
Organism: Sapajus apella (tufted capuchin)
Lineage: Eukaryota; Metazoa; Chordata; Mammalia; Primates; Cebidae
Exons: 3
Source: RefSeq, a predicted model, not a curated record